RNAcentral lists this long non-coding RNA (1346 nucleotides) under Zonotrichia albicollis (white-throated sparrow). RNAcentral describes it as "lncRNA (ENSZALG00000012517.1)". Lineage: Eukaryota; Metazoa; Chordata; Aves; Passeriformes; Passerellidae. The record is from RNAcentral.
AUGUGCUCCACGUGUGGCAGCCUGCAGGGACACAGGGAUGCUCUCAGGGAGGGGAGGCACUGGAGAGACCACCACCUGCUUCUCACCCUGUGUGAGCAGUCUGUCCACAGCCCCUCCUCUGCCUGCCCAACUCCACCUGUGCCUUGGGGUCUUUUCCUCAGGAGCAGCCCCUGCUGCAGACCAAGCUUGCUGAACUCUGCUCUUGGGGGACAGACUCAAGGAGACCGUGCGUGUCUGAGAGACAAUGUGCAUCCUACCACCGGAGCAGGACAAGGAGACUCAGCCAGACGAGAAAUGGACACUUCCACAACCAGGCAAGAGUUGCACCUGCUGUCGAAGGCUUUAAUUCCCCUUCAGUUAUCUAGAAGCCAUCUCAGAGCAUCUGAGGUUCUCUCACUGAAGGUCACAAAUAUCUUUGGAAUUCUAAGGCUGAAAAGGUAGAGUUUGUGCAUGGAAGCAUGGAAGUUUAAUGCUGAGACAAAGCUUCUCUCAUAGGCUUGGAGGUGUCCAUAAGCAUGCCCUUUAGCCUUCACAGUACAUGAGAUUGUAAUGGAGUAGCCUUUGCUACCAACCAGAUGGCUUACAUGGGUGCAAGCCAUGUCCUGCAAGCCUGGACUCCAUUUUUCCUGUGUUCUCAACAUGCAGUGAAGCCACUCUGACCUUGUAAGCAAAUUGCUUUGACAACUUAUACCCAAAUGAUCCCACAGAAUAUUACUUUCCACCUGCAAAAAAAGUAUGAAACCAGUCAAAUCUUAGAAAAAUCAUCCCAGAUUACAUGUCUGCUGAUGAGGCUGAUGGAUCAUUUGAGCAUCCAGGAACAGACAUCUUGGUAUCACUCCUAUGCUGUGGUUGCAAUCACCUGAUGUUUUUUGUCCAGCUGUGGCCAUCUUCUAGCACUUCAGAUAAUGGCAAACUCCACCCCACAGCUCCCUCUCAGCUCCGCAUAGUACACAUAAAGCUGAGUGUGUUGUUCUCAGAAAAACAAAAUCAUUCUAGGUUUUGGGGGUGUGACUACAUGAACCUUGCAGAGCAACAAAUUCUAUAGGUACACCUAAGGUGUCUGCCCUGACAGCUCUCUCUGGAGACCUUAGGAAGAGGUGAAGACAUUAUGAAGAUUUAUAGGAAUGUACAUCUUCUCAGCAAUGUUUAAGACUGAUAAUAGUGAAAUAAGAGAUUAUAAAAGUGCUUUUUCUUGUGCUGUUUCCACAGUUGUACAGAAUAGACACCAGUGCCAAGGGACCAACAGUACAAGAAGAAUUGCUGUGUGAAAGUCAAAACUAGUUCAAUUCAGGCUUGAAGUAAUGGAGGAACUUUUAAAAAUAAAGCAAAUUAUUGCCUGGAAGUCA